AGUGAACGCUGGCGGUAGGCCUAACACAUGCAAGUCGAACGGCAGCACAGUAAGAGCUUGCUCUUACGGGUGGCGAGUGGCGGACGGGUGAGGAAUACAUCGGAAUCUACUUUUUCGUGGGGGAUAACGUAGGGAAACUUACGCUAAUACCGCAUACGACCUACGGGUGAAAGCAGGGGAUCUUCGGACCUUGCGCGAUUGAAUGAGCCGAUGUCGGAUUAGCUAGUUGGCGGGGUAAAGGCCCACCAAGGCGACGAUCCGUAGCUGGUCUGAGAGGAUGAUCAGCCACACUGGAACUGAGACACGGUCCAGACUCCUACGGGAGGCAGCAGUGGGUAAUAUUGGACAAUGGGCGCAAGCCUGAUCCAGCCAUACCGCGUGGGUGAAGAAGGCCUUCGGGUCGUAAAGCCCUUUUGUUGGGAAAGAAAAGCAGCAGGUUAAUACCCCGCUGUUCUGACGGUACCCAAAGAAUAAGCACCGGCUAACUUCGUG
Molecule: ribosomal RNA, 492 nt
Filed under: uncultured bacterium
Lineage: Bacteria
Description: partial 16S ribosomal RNA
Rfam family: Bacterial small subunit ribosomal RNA
Source: RNAcentral